This 674-nucleotide long non-coding RNA is filed under the name Anas platyrhynchos (mallard). RNAcentral's name for it is "lncRNA (ENSAPLG00020012826.1)". The record is from RNAcentral. Lineage: Eukaryota; Metazoa; Chordata; Aves; Anseriformes; Anatidae.
UGGAAAUACACCAAAACCUCAGCAUCUCUGCUCCACUGCUGCUUAAUGCACAUUGCAGAUCAGGGUGAUGAGAGGGGAAAUGUGGUCAGGCGUUGAGAGCUGACCUCAGGCAGCUGAUGCCCAAAGCUCGUGGGGGUUCAGCCCCCUUCAAUCAGCAAGGGCUCAUGGUGUGUUUUUUCCCCACAGACUCCACCAUCGCCCACGUUCGACGGGACAGGCCUCGUCCCAUGCAUCAAAUGAGAAACAUCAUGACAUAUGCCACGGUGACCCACACUCAGACCAAAUAGCGCUGCCACAGGGCAAGGGCACAGGAGCCUUGCCCACAGCUGCCUUUGGCCUCCUGCAGAGGGCUCAUGGAGCCAUAACGUGGGGCUAGGGGGUGCACUUUGGUCUUCUUAGGGGUUUGUUUUCUCAGAGAAGGGCUGUGUGUGUCUAGCCAAGAAGAUGUAGGACUCACACCUCCAUCUACAAGACAUUAAUACUUCUAAAAUAUAUGACCUAUACCAAAUCUUACUGUGACUGUAUUGAUUUUUUCUCAACAAAAGAAAACAUCUCGCUGUGCUCAGUGGAUGAUGUGUAUACCUAAGUUGCAUUAUAAUGCCAUGGGGGUGUUAUUCUACCCACCCACAGAGAUGCCCAUUUUUGACCUACAUGGACAGAUAUCACUGCAGGCA